CAAUUGCCUAUAGAUGGACCCUCCUAUUUCUUCUGACUUGCCUGUCUUGACUUGACUACAUGGCUUGGUUGGAGCCAGCUAAAUAGGCAUGCUCAAGAUUGGGUGGAGAUUCUGUAGACCCUUUUCAGUCUACUGUACCUUUAAAACUUGAAGGCAGCCCAGGAAGUCAACUUGCUUUGCCAGGUUGCAUCUGCCCAACACCAGGAAAGAACCAGGUCCCAUGGACUAAAUUGAAAAAUUAAGUUACAUCUCCAUGAGUCCCUUUUAGAUGGAAAGUCAGGCUGGCCUACAAAUGCACUAAAAAUAAACUGGCAGAUGGUUUAGGUAAUCUCAGCACAAGUCAGCUUGCCCUCCUGGUGAAUAAUGUGGGCACCAGCCUGGAAGAAAAU
This is a non-coding RNA of Pogona vitticeps (central bearded dragon), 389 nucleotides long. Lineage: Eukaryota; Metazoa; Chordata; Lepidosauria; Squamata; Agamidae. The record is from RefSeq and is a predicted model, not a curated record.